Molecule: long non-coding RNA, 755 nt
Organism: Brassica napus (rape)
Lineage: Eukaryota; Viridiplantae; Streptophyta; Magnoliopsida; Brassicales; Brassicaceae
Exons: 3
Source: RefSeq, a predicted model, not a curated record
UGUAAUUCUCUAAUUACGUCUAUUUGUUCAAUUUUUUAUAUGAUAUCGAAUAUUCAUCGUAAAUAGAUGGUUUAAGAUGCCAAAAAAAUUAUUUACUUGGUGAAUAUAAUACAUCAAAUAUUACGAAUACAUUAUUUAGUUAAAUAAAUAACCAAAAACCAAAAAUUCAAACCCGCGCUGGCGCGCGGAUCAGGGUCUAGUCUAUCUAUUAUUAUAAAAGAGUGUUUACUCCCUCCUGGUGCUGCCACCUCAGCAUCCAGCUAGGAAAGCCGUUUAACCAGGAGAUGCCACGUGUCCCAUGAUUCUCGACGCAACGUAUCCUUUAAUCGUUGGUAUGUUGGGCUUUGUUUUGUUGGUUUAUUUGUGUACUUGGGCUCCGAAGAUCGAAGAUUUUUCUGGGCCGAUGGAGUACGGGUGAAGUGAUGAAACGAGGUUCGUCUUCGUCUCUCCUCUUCGUGUGGCGGCGAUGUGGUGACGAUUGUGUUUCUUCUCACAACCUGAAACAGUCGGUUUAAUGGCUCCAUGAUCCAUCAUUCACGAUCUACAUUCAAUGAGAUCGACGUUGAUGAGCCAGUUUCCGUCGUCGACAAAGACGAUCCGGCGUCUGCUACCCAUUCAGUGGCCUCAGCCUCAUAACGAAGAGAUUUGUCUUGCCAUGGAAGAAGCUGAGUUCGAAGAAAAGAGAGAAGAGAAGAGAAGAGAAAGUUUACGCAGAAAGAAACUGAGAGUUAUCGAAGAAGGAGAUGGCGAUGGAA